CGUUACGUUCCUUUCCGUUGAGGGCAACGAUGUCAACGGUGUUGCGUUCUUUGCCGUUUAAGGCGACGAUGUCCAUGGCGUUGCGCUCUUUGCCGUUGAGGGCGACGAUGUCAAUGACGUUCUUCUCUUGUCCGUACAUAUUGCUUCUGACUUUGUACGCUUCUAACAAGCUUAUUCUACUCAAACCACUCCAAACCCCAAACUCCAAAAUGUACGGACAAGAGAAGAACGUCAUUGACAUCGUCACCCUCAACGGAAAGGAAAGGACCUCCUUCGACAUCAUCUCCCUGUAAAUUGCAACCCCUUUGUAAGUAUAUUAGAUAUAUUUUACCGAUACACCAAAGCAUGAGAUUUAGAAUGACAGUUUGAGUCCCUAUCUUAACUUUUCUCGCACUUACAAUUUCACUUUAAAAUUAAUUGCAGUACUUUUAUUAUUUAUGGGCUGAUACCAAAAGCGUAGCUCCAUACAUCAAAUUUUUUUAGAAUUAUAUUUUAGUGUUGGCAUCCCUCUUCUUGCCGUAACUCACUUUAAGAUGGUCAGUAAUCGAUAGAACAACUGCAUUGUACGAUUAUUUUGAUUACUUUGGAUCAUUAAUUUUUAAUUAAUCCAACUACUAAUUGGACUACAUUUCGCGAUUAGGAAAUAAAAUUUCUGACCCCAAUUGUAAAAUCACUUAUCCACAUAGGAAAAAUAAUGGCAAGUACGUUGUUUCUAAAGGGUGCUGAAAAUUGCAGUCCCUAAUUUCAAAAUGCGGUUCAAUUGGAUUAUGUAUUAUGAUUGAGAAAUUCUAGAUCUGGGUAAAAUAUGUGUGACUAGUUUUCCUGUGAACGAAGGUACUUUUGUGGGUGAACCGGAACUUGUAGUUUCUCAUCGCGAAACGAAGCUCAAUUUCAAUCCGAUUUUUAAAGAUUUCAUGUAAACCUAGCCGCUGCUUCUGAUCAAAGAUUUUUAAUGCGGAAGUUCUCCCCUUUAAAUUUUUUAGUAAUUUGCAUUUUUAUUUUAGUGUUUUCUUAUUUCUUUUCAGGUUCUCUUUCCAGCCUUAAGUCGGCAUCUAUCACAUGGCUUCCCCUCAACAACAUCCGAGGCUGGACUCCACCGCAUCAACACUCCCCACUCUCUCGCUCCCUUUCUCUCUCUCUUUCUCGCACUUACACAUCCACUCGCACGGCAAUAAGUUUAACUUGUUAAUAUUUAAUCAUAAUAUGUGUAUAUCAUAAUCAAUAGCUGAUAAGAAAUAAAUUUGGUUAAGAACAAAGUAUGAUCUUGAUUUCGUUGUCACUAUCCUCUGACAAAAGCUUUUAGAAAAAUGAAUUUCAUGAGUGAGCACCAUAAACUUCAAAGUUUGAUAAAGACUAUUAUGAACUCUGAGAAAUCAAUUUUGGUGCUAAAACAUUGGUGUCUAUACAGAUCACAAUAAUUGAGCUGCCAUUUUUAGAAGUUAUGUACUCCACGACACCACUUUAAAAGUUGUGUGUUUCUCUCAUUAUUCCACAAGAGAAUCUCUUCAUGUCCUUUUUAUCAAAAUCUUAGAAAGUUUUAUUUUAUAUUUGAGAAAAACUCAUUGAAAUUUUUGCAUAAACUUGUAAAUUUUUUCGAGUAAGUUAGAAAAUAAAAUACCUGCGGCAAACUGACAUGCUGCGUAUCUCCUAUUUUAGUGAAUAAAUUGUAAGGAUUCAAAUGGUUGUCAAUAACAAUCACUAACUUAAAACAAUCAAUAUGCGUGCUCAUUGAAUGACGUUAAAUGAAAGAGUCAGAGCCAAAAGGGUGUACUUGCAUUGCAACGUUGCGAAGUCUCACCCGGUACUAAUUUAUUCCCUUAAGAACGAUUGCAAAAAAAAGGUUUAAAUGUUUUUGUGAAUUUUCUUCAUUUUUAACAGAAAUUUCCCGCGAUUUUCUGUGUGAAACAUUCGCCUCCCUAGUAAAAGUGAGUCAGCCUGACGUGAGGCUAUGUUUCAUAAACUACCCUGAAUCUGACUGAUUCCGAAUGACACCCGUCUGACAUCAGCCUGAAUCAGUCUGACUUAGAGUAGUUUAUGAAACAUUUAGCCUGACGUCAGGCUGAUCCACUUUUACUAGGGCUCUCACUAGAAAAAAAACACAGUGGAUCUAGAGUCCAGACUCUUAAAAACAUUGACAAGAAAAAUGCUCUUGAUUCAAUCGGAUUUUUGCUUAAAUCAAGAACCAAGCCUCUUAAUUUGAGCGGAUUUCCUUUUGAUUUAAGCUUAAAUCUGAUUGAAUCAAGAGUAUUUUUUCUUGUCAAUGUUUUCAAGAGUCUAGACUCUAGAUCCAAUGUGUUUUUUUCCAGUGCUUGUUAAAUAGAUUAUAUUAAUUUGUUAAGCGAAACUUUCCAACAUCGCGGUGUAAUUUUGGCGCCGCUGACUCGACUGCUUCAAUUGAAAUCGUGAGUAAAAGAGGAGAAGUUUGUUUAACGUAAAAAAUAUAUUUCGAGCCAAAAAGUUCGAUCCCUAGGAUACGCCUAUUCAUAAUAAUUGAAAACAGAAGUAUGAGUUUGGCAGUGGCGAUUCUUGAAAGUUGGCAACACUGUUUAUUCUCCAUUUCAAUAUGUGAAACAAUCGAUUCUUGGUGAGGCUUGCAUCUUCUAAAAUCGAUAUUUUCAAUGGAUUUAAAUUGAGUAUUAACAGCGUUGCCAACUUGGUGGAUUCGCCACUCGUGUAUAUUGAUGUUCCAAUGGCCAUCAAAUAUCAAGCUGACUGGGAAAUUACCGAACUUACACGUAAGCGCCACUUCAAAUCGGAAUCAAUGACCCGAUGAGGCUGUCGUCGUCGCAUGCGCAUGUCGCCGAUCUUUCUCAAAACAAUGAAUAUUGUUCGAUAAUUGUGGACAUUAGCCAGAGGCAAAAUACUUCGACUUACCUUGGUCGUUCAGUCAACAUGACUCUGCAUUCCAGCCGCCAAAUAGUGCACGAUAAUAACCGAACUAGAUCUUCUUAGCGAGCCCAUGAAUGAACAUAACAUCAACAAGAUGUUUCCGAAAAAGAGGAGAUCGUGGGUUUUUGAAAAGGAAAUUUUUUCUAUCUACACAUUUACCAAAAUUGACAGCCAUACGAUUUUUAGGCGACCGUUGCCAUUUCGGAGGGAAAGUCGGACGCUUUCACAAGUUUCAUGCUUUUGACUUUAUUUGAACGAAAACCUGAGGUCAAGAUCAAUGUAAAAAUGAAGAUAACAUGGAAAAAACAACUUAGAGCUGAGCCCUAACACUAAAGGUAAAAUAGAGCCAAUUACAGGCAGUAAUACUGAGUCCUAUACAGCUUACAGCUCUGUUUUCCAUUUAAGGUUUUUCCUAACUGUAUAACAUUCCUCAAGAUUUUUCGUGAUUUUUCUCUGUGUGAAAUUUUGUAAAACUUUAACGAUAUUAAAACUUGCACCCUUCCAAAAACGCUUCUUACGACUUCCGCAUUCAGUUCUCACAGUCCUUCAUUUUUAAUUAACUAAUCACAUAUCGACGGUGUAAGUCGGCAAUCACAUAACUCGGUUUGCG
RNAcentral lists this long non-coding RNA (3499 nucleotides) under Bemisia tabaci. RNAcentral describes it as "lncRNA ENSSSA1NGG001174". The record is from RNAcentral. Lineage: Eukaryota; Metazoa; Arthropoda; Insecta; Hemiptera; Aleyrodidae.